AACUGCCACUCGCGCCUCCACAGGGUUUCGGGCGCAGGCGCGCGCUCCGGGGCGCGCUCUCGCUCGCGCGCGCGGCGCCCCCUCUCCGCCACGUGACCUGCAGCUCGGCGAGACCCGUGCUCCGGUCCCCAGCCCAAUGGCGGGGCCGGAGACCCUCCUCUCCGCGGAGGUAGUCGCCCCUCCAUCGUCCGAGGAGUUCGUGGAGACCUGCACGCGUGCGGCACAGUAAUGCCGGUCAGCCCGGGUUUCUGACGUAAAAAGGGGAAAGCCGCCAAGGACGGAUGCCGCGCGCCCCUAGGGCCUGACUCAGGUUGAUAGACUGGAUGAGGCAUGGAUGAUCUACUGUUCACAAGCUUGUUCAGUGAGCAAAACUUCUGCAGAUUUCAAGGAGAGAACUCUCAUUCAGAACAUCUUCCUCUAGUUUCAUGUUCUAUGUCAAGUGUAGUCCUGCCGCUUCCCAAGGGCUGGAUCUGGACCUGAGAUGAACUCGCCACUUGUUGAAGGAAGACUCACUCCGAGUUGGUGUGAUGCACUCCAAGCCCCUCCCUGACCUCUUCCUGCUCUGUUUUCGUUCUUCCCUUAAUCUCACUGGCCUGCAGUCUGGCAUUCUAAUCAGUUGGCUUCUCUGGGUUUCUGCUAGCAGGAGAUAAUAGGGGCAGAAGAGUUUGGUAGAAAACAAAUUGGUUGCAAUAAAAAUUUCUUCAAUAUAACAAAUUAGUAAAAAAAUGAUUAUUUCCAA
Molecule: long non-coding RNA, 739 nt
Organism: Artibeus jamaicensis (Jamaican fruit-eating bat)
Lineage: Eukaryota; Metazoa; Chordata; Mammalia; Chiroptera; Phyllostomidae
Exons: 3
Source: RefSeq, a predicted model, not a curated record